RNAcentral lists this long non-coding RNA (1475 nucleotides) under Glycine max (soybean). RNAcentral's name for it is "long non-coding RNA (GMAX_LNC004673)". Lineage: Eukaryota; Viridiplantae; Streptophyta; Magnoliopsida; Fabales; Fabaceae. The record is from RNAcentral.
AUGAAUAAAUCAAAGACAUGAAGUAGAUAGACCCUUGGCAUUUGUGUAUUUAUAUAGAAUAUUGUUUCAUCCAUCCAUCUCUCGUGUUCUAAGAAAUACAUAUCCGAUUGAAAGAAUAAGUAGCAACUCUGUAGCCUCUUUUCCCAUCAUCUCCUUACCUCCUCUUUUUUCAAAUUAGUCCUGCAGAAGAAGAUCAUCAUGAGGCGCUUAAAGUCAAGAACAACACCACUUUUGUCCAAGUUUGCGCCGUUGUUGGAGCCAUGGCCAAAUGAUGCUAUAAGAAAGGAACUAUAAACCUGAUCAGGACAUUUGACCUGAGGAAACAUGCCCUCUAGGCAAGUCUGAUGCUUGGCUUUUCAUCUCUGCUGUUGAGAAUCAAAUAAGGCAUGGCUCACGUCAUGAAAUUAUUUAGCAUAUCAUAUCUGUUUGAUAUUAGUAUAAGUUUUUCUGUUUACUACCUCUCCUCCUUCCUUUCCCAGUUGGGACAAUGAUAUGUUAUGUAUAUCCUUCUCUGCUCUACAACAGCUGCUUUUGUAAUACUACUUGUAUGAAAGUUUUAUUAUACCUCAGUUUUUCUCUUUUCUGUUUGUUCAAUUGGAUUCUUAGUUUAUUGUAUUGAUUAUGUGCAACUGGCAUGGCCAGGUAAGAAAAAGAACAAAAAAGCUUACUGUUUUCUCUAAAUUAAUUAAUCAAAGAUAUUAUUUGCUGGAUUUAAAUUGGCUCUUCCAAUGAAAACAUAAUCACAUGACAUGAUCCUUUCUGGCUUUAUAUUAUUGAAAGUAACAGCCACCCCCCUUUUGAGAUAUUCAUCGUGUGUACACGUAUAAGGGCGAGGGAUUAAUGCUUCAAUUGUUCAAGUUAGAAUGAUGAUUGACUUAAAGCUAAUAAUAUAAAAUGAAAACAUGCUUUGGAGAAGAAGAAAAGAAUGAAUAAAUUACACAAGCAGCCUGCCAUGAGUUGUAUGUAUUUUGGUUAAUAAUAGUCUGGUUAAAAACCAUGCAAUUCCAAUGGCAGACUCUUGAGCACGCACAGAUAUGUCAAAUAUAUAUGAAUAUAAAGCAUGUAUCAUGCAUCUACAUCUUGUUUCAGAUCUAAUGAAUGUGAUGAUUCUAGGUUCAAAGGAAAAAUUGAAUUGUUGAGGGAGGAUUAAACUCUCCAAACAGCUGGAAAGUGGAAGAAUGAAUUCUUGUGGACGAAAUGUAUUUAACAUCUGCCUAGAAUUGGCAGGUGCAGGAAAGGCUUUUUAGUUCUAUCAGUAUGCAAUUGAUAAAUGCUAUUUGGUUUUUUGAUCCAGUUUGAAAUUUCAUGUGUAUGUCUAAUUUGAUACUUCAAGUUACUACAUACUAUGUAGUAACUGUGGUCAAGAGUGCACUUGGUUUCACGUUCACUUUUUGAUCAACAAUCAUAGCGUGUACCUGAAUGGUAUUUUGCAUCUUUAACUCAAGUCAUAAAAGUCUUAAUAAUUAUCAUUCCCC